Molecule: ribosomal RNA, 298 nt
Filed under: uncultured bacterium
Lineage: Bacteria
Description: partial 16S ribosomal RNA
Rfam family: Bacterial small subunit ribosomal RNA
Source: RNAcentral
UACCUACGGGGCGCAGCAGUAAGGAAUAUUGGUCAAUGGCCGAGAGUCUGAACCAGCCAAGUAGCGUGAAGGAUGACUGCCCUAUGGGUUGUAAACUUCUUUUAUAAAGGAAUAAUAAGAGCCACGUGUGCCUUUUUGCCUGUACUUUAUGAAUAAGCAUCGGCUAACUCCGUGCCAGCAGCCGCGGUAAUACGGAGGAUCCGAGCGUUAUCCGGAUUUAUUGGGUUUAAAGGGAGCGUAGAUGGGUUUUUAAGUCAGUUGUUAAAGUUUGCGGCUUAACCGUAAAAUUGCAAUUAAU